GUCUGCUGUUAAAGGCUGGAGCUUAACUCCGGUAGAGCAGUGGAAACUGGUGCGCUAGAGGGCGACAGGGGUAGAGGGAAUUCCCAGUGUAGCGGUGAAAUGCGUAGAGAUUGGGAAGAACACCGGUGGCGAAAGCGCUCUACUGGGUCGCACCUGACCCUCAGGGACGAAAGCUAAGGUAGCGAAAGGGAUUAGAUACCCCUGUAGUCUUAGCCGUAAACGAUGGAUACUAGGCGUGGCUUGUAUCGACCCAAGCCGUGCCGAAGCUAACGCGUUAAGUAUCCCGCCUGGGGAGUACGCACGCAAGUGUGAAACUCAAAGGAAUUGACGGGGGCCCGCACAAGCGGUGGAGGAUGUGGUUUAAUUCGAUGCAACGCGAAGAACCUUACCAGGGCUUGACAUCCCGCGAAUCUCGGUGAAAGCCGGGAGUGCCUUCGGGAGCGCGGAGACAGGUGGUGCAUGGCUGUCGUCAGCUCGUGUCGUGAGAUGUUGGGUUAAGUCCCGCAACGAGCGCAACCCUCGUCCUUAGUUGCCAGCAUUGAGUUGGGCACUCUAGGGAGACUGCCGGUGACAAACCGGAGGAAGGUGAGGAUGACGUCAAGUUAGCAUGCCCCUUAUGCUCUGGGCAACACACGUCCUACAAUGGUCGGGACAAAGGGGAGCAAGCUCGCGAGAGUAAGCGAAUCCCAGCAAACUCGGCCUCAGUUCAGAUUGCAGGCUGCAACUCGCCUGCAU
This 735-nucleotide ribosomal RNA is filed under the name uncultured cyanobacterium. RNAcentral's name for it is "bacterial SSU rRNA". It matches the Rfam family "Bacterial small subunit ribosomal RNA", at positions 587 to 1321 of the family's 1533-position model. The record is from RNAcentral. Lineage: Bacteria; Bacillati; Cyanobacteriota.